Molecule: long non-coding RNA, 550 nt
Filed under: Vigna radiata
Lineage: Eukaryota; Viridiplantae; Streptophyta; Magnoliopsida; Fabales; Fabaceae
Description: long non-coding RNA (VRAD_LNC013186)
Source: RNAcentral
AUUAUAAAAAAAAAAGGAAGUUCAAUUGAAAGUUCUGAAAAGCCAAAUAGGCCUGUGCAAUCCAUGUUUUUAAAAACUAAAACACAGAAUCAGAUUUUGGAAACUGGAACUGGGUUUAUCUUUGACAGUUCAGCAGCUUCUUGUUUGUCUUUUCUUGAUUUUAAAAUCUGCUUUAGAUCUUUUGGUAGGUUCUGUUUGAGUGCCUCCUUUCUUGAAAGCUUUGUUUAUUGCUUGUCUUGAUUGCUGUCUCGGUUUUGUUUCAAUCUGUGUAAACUCUGAUCUGUCAUUCUUAAUUUGAGCUUUGCUUGCUUUUAAAAUCUGAUCUAGAGUUUCUUGUGAGUCUGUUUGCUCUGCUGUCCUGUUCUAUUCUGGUUUCUGCACAUUGCAUUACCUAGUUGUUCUUGAUUGAGAAGCACUUUCACUUUCAUUCUGGAUUUUUGGAAUUUGAAAGAGGUUUGUGUGCUUGGUAGCAUCCUAGGUGGUGGUGGUCUAAAAGACUCUCCAACCUUGAACUGACAAGGGAGAAUUUUUCCCUUCCAAACCUUUCCUC